This 693-nucleotide ribosomal RNA is filed under the name uncultured Enterobacteriaceae bacterium. RNAcentral's name for it is "bacterial SSU rRNA". It matches the Rfam family "Bacterial small subunit ribosomal RNA", at positions 808 to 1502 of the family's 1533-position model. Lineage: Bacteria; Pseudomonadati; Pseudomonadota; Gammaproteobacteria; Enterobacterales; Enterobacteriaceae. The record is from RNAcentral.
GAUGUCGAUCUGGAGUUUGUCGCCUAGAGUGAUGGGCUCCGAAGCUAACGCGAUAAAUCGACCGCUGGGGAGUACGGCCGCAAGGUUAAAACUCAAAUGAAUUGACGGGGGCCCGCACAAGCGGUGGAGCAUGUGGUUUAUUUCGAUGCAACGCGAAGAACCUUACCUGGUCUUGACAUCCAUAGAAUUCUGCAGAGAUGUGGGAGUGCCUUCGGGAACUAUGAGACAGGUGCUGCAUGGCUGUCGUCAGCUCGUGUUGUGAAAUGUUGGGUUAAGUCCCGCAACGAGCGCAACCCUUAUUCUUUGUUGCCAGCGAUUUGGUCGGGAACUCAAAGGAGACUGCCGUUGAUAAAGCGGAGGAAGGUGGGGACGACGUCAAGUCAUCAUGGCCCUUACGACCAGGGCUACACACGUGCUACAAUGGCGUAUACAAAGGGAAGCGAAGGUGCGAGCUGGAGCGGAUCUCAUAAAGUACGUCUAAGUUCGGAUUGGAGUCUGCAACUCGACUCCAUGAAGUCGGAAUCGCUAGUAAUCGUAGAUCAGAAUGCUACGGUGAAUACGUUCCCGGGCCUUGUACACACCGCCCGUCACACCAUGGGAGUGGGUUGCACCAGAAGUAGAUAGCUUAACCGCGAGGGGGGCGUUUACCACGGUGUGAUUCAUGACUGGGGUGAAGUCGUAACAAGGUAACCA